RNAcentral lists this ribosomal RNA (253 nucleotides) under uncultured bacterium. RNAcentral describes it as "partial 16S ribosomal RNA". It matches the Rfam family "Bacterial small subunit ribosomal RNA", at positions 524 to 776 of the family's 1533-position model. The record is from RNAcentral.
UACGUAGGUGGCAAGCGUUGUCCGGAAUUACUGGGUGUAAAGCGCAUGUAGGCGGCCUAGCAGGUCGGAUGUGAAAUCCCUCGGCUCAACCAAGGAAGUGCAUUCGAAACCGCAAGGCUGGAGUCCCGGAGAGGAUGGUGGAAUUCUCGGUGUAGAGGUGAAAUUCGUAGAUAUCGAGAGGAACACCGGCGGCGAAGGCGGCCAUCUGGACGAGGACUGACGCUGAGAUGCGAAAGCGUGGGGAGCAAACAGG